This 75-nucleotide non-coding RNA is filed under the name Desulfobacterales bacterium. Its description in RNAcentral is "c-di-GMP sequence". It matches the Rfam family "c-di-GMP-I-GGC riboswitch aptamer". Lineage: Bacteria; Pseudomonadati; Thermodesulfobacteriota; Desulfobacteria; Desulfobacterales. The record is from RNAcentral.
CUUGACAAAGCCAACCCUGCCGUGAUGCAGGGACGGAAAGCCACGGGUCUUAAAGAGAUAGCCGGGUUGCCUUGG